UACGUAGGGGGCGAGCGUUGUCCGGAAUUACUGGGCGUAAAGCGCGCGUAGGCGGGUUCUUGCAUCCACUGUGAAAGCCCUGGGCUCAACCCAGGGAGGCCGGUGGAGAUGGGGAGCCUGGAGGGCAGCAGAGGCAAGCGGAAGUCCCGAAGUAGUGGUGAAAUGCGUAGAGAUCGGGAGGAACACCCGAGGCGAAGGCGGUUUGCUGGGCUGUGCCUGACGCUGAGGCGCGAAAGCUAGGGGAGCGAACGGA
RNAcentral lists this ribosomal RNA (253 nucleotides) under uncultured bacterium. RNAcentral describes it as "partial 16S ribosomal RNA". It matches the Rfam family "Bacterial small subunit ribosomal RNA", at positions 524 to 776 of the family's 1533-position model. The record is from RNAcentral.